AGAAUCAACGCUGGCGGCGUGCCUCAGACAUGCAAGUCGAACGCGAAAGUUUCCUUCGGGGGACGAGUAGAGUGGCGCACGGGUGAGUAACACGUAGGUAAUCUACCUUUGGAUGGGGAAUAACAACCGGAAACGGUUGCUAAUACCGCAUGAUGCAGCGGCACCUAAUGGUGACAGUUGUUAAAGCGGGGGAUCGAAAGACCUCGCGUCUGAAGAGGAGCCUGGCGGCGGUAUUAGACUAGGUUGGUAGGGUAACGGCCUACAAGCUACGAUCCGUAGCCGGCCUGAGAGGCGUCGGCCACACUGACACUGACAUACCGGGUCAGACGUCCUACGGGAGGCCUAGCCAGGUCGGGAAUUUUGGGCAAGUGGGACGAAAGCCUAGACCCAGACAACGCCG
RNAcentral lists this ribosomal RNA (400 nucleotides) under uncultured soil bacterium. Its description in RNAcentral is "bacterial SSU rRNA". It matches the Rfam family "Bacterial small subunit ribosomal RNA", at positions 26 to 399 of the family's 1533-position model. The record is from RNAcentral.